Molecule: transfer RNA, 67 nt
Filed under: Croceicoccus estronivorus
Lineage: Bacteria; Pseudomonadati; Pseudomonadota; Alphaproteobacteria; Sphingomonadales; Erythrobacteraceae
Also listed under: 1 other name
Rfam family: tRNA
About the family: Transfer RNA (tRNA) molecules are approximately 80 nucleotides in length. Their secondary structure includes four short double-helical elements and three loops (D, anti-codon, and T loops).
Source: RNAcentral
GGCUUAGCUCAGUUGGUAGAGCACCUGAUUUGUAAUCAGGGGGUCGCGGGUUCGAUCCCUGCAGCCG